CAGUUACAUGAGGUUACCAGACAGUGAACAACUUAAGUCUUUGCCUUCCCUAUUAAGAGUUUCCAGAGAUAAGGCCAUCCCCCCUUCCUUUUGGUGCAGGGAGGGAGACACCCCCACAGAUGGAGACUUCCUUCACAAAUGCAAAUGUCUCUCAUCAAAGGGCAAGCAAAUUCCACUCCUCAGAGCCUCCUUCUUGUCUGCAUUUUUUAAAAUUAACCAGCCUAAAAUAAUCCUCAUCACCACCUGCACUGAUACCAUUUUAAUGACUUUUUAACAUAAUCUUUCCUUUGUUUUGUAAAGAAAUAAUUCACAUACCUAUGCUUUGUAAAUUUAGCCCUACCUUCAACUCAUUGCAGCUCUUCACUGCCCAUGGGUCCUGUCCCCAUGCUACUCCAUGCUAUUCUCUGAAUAAAGGAACACUACUCCCAGACCUUGAGAGUCCAAGAAAUCUUUCUUUUGACUCCUCGGCUCACUGAGCCCGCAUCAGUUCCUCUCUAUAAAAUGGCGUCCUUUGUGCUAACCUAUGUUAACCAUGGACUGUGUUUAUCUUAGCUUUCAGGUGGUGCUAACAUGAAUGCUCUUAAAGCUUAGAAGUUUGUUAGAAUUCAAAAAUUUUAAAGUGAAUAACUAGUGUUUGGAUGCUAUUUACAGUCAGCACAGGGAAACAAUGGCAUAUUGUUUACACUAGCAAAUUAGAAAUGUUUCUGCACCACACUCAUGAAUAAAAUUUUAAAGCAAACUCUUACUCAAUGGCUAGGAAAAUACAUUCUGCAUUGAGUGUUAAAGUUAUACAAUUAAAAAUAUACUCUUUAAAAAAAAUGACUAAAAAUGACAAAUGUGUUUUAAGGAUCAUCUACCUGAGGGUGACAGCUCAGCUUUAUCUGUGGAGCCAGUUUCAGCAACUUGGGGCAGCCUGGCCCUGAAUUAAAAAUUUUGAAGUCACUUCUGGGUCCAGCAAGAGAGACCAACUGUCAGUCACUAACGUUUGCUUUGGAAAAGUCCAGUUAGAGAAAGGGUGGCAGCACCCUUUCAAAUUACCGACGAAGACAGUGAGUGUCAAAACUAUGGCAUUAAGUUAUUUGCAUUUUCUAGGACUGCACCAAUGAAGACACUACCAUUUCUGCAGGGUUUGCACAGAAGGCAAACCUUCCAUCCUGACAGGUAAUCUGGUAAAGGAGUAAGUGAGCCAUUGGCCCUUCAUCAUAUGAAUAGUAUAGAUUCAAAAGGAGAAAGCAGCCAAAGGUUAGAAAGGUUGAUAAACACAGCAAUGGAAAAGAUGUGGGGAAGCCGGCAUUCACUUUUUCUAUUGAUGGGAGUAUAAAAUGGCACAACUCUUAGGGUGGUUCAUCAGGAAACGGUAGUGGAAAUUUGUCAUGCGCAAACUGACUCCACUAUCCUACUUCUAAGGUGUUAUUCUAAAGAAAUAAUAAACAAGUGACUGCAUUUGAUUCCCUAACCUCUUAAAUUCAAGUUCACGUGCUGGAUGUGCAGCAAGCCAAACACUUAGACAUCGGUGCUUGGAGAUGGAGAAAGGCCCCAUUAGAGUUGACCAAGCUGAGAGGUGGGAGCCUGGCUUUGCUCAAAUGCACCUUCACAAGAGCAGAAAACAGGAUUGUACAGAGCUAAGGGGCUGGGCAGGAGGAGCUCUGGGGAAACAAAGGGGUCACUCCUGAUAAGCCCCUGGGCGAUCUGACUUCUUUGCUUCAACAGCAGCUAGGGGCCCGCCAUCUGGUGAUGCAACAUCCCCGAAGGCAUUGUCUUUCUUCUGCAAAACAAGCUCACAAAUCCUGGAGACCACUGAGCCACCCCUCAAGUUAAACAGGAAAACGGCAAAUUGCUUAUUGAAUAUGCACAGUAACCCUCAGCUCACCUGUGACCACUCAGCUGGAGACAACAGACUGCCACCCUGCCUUGUUCACUGAGACAGAAGACCUACCUGCUGUUUCCAUCAAUCGCUGUGCCCACAGAGCAGUCUCGAGACUAUUGUAAAAGGGACAUUUCAAUCCUAUGUGAAACAUCCUCUCUGGGGGUACAUAACCACUCUGUGCACCCCACUUCUUUGGUGCCCUUUCUUCCUUUGGGAAGAAAGGCCCCGGGUUAUAAUCCUCAGAUUUAAGCCCAGAAUAAACUCACCCAAAUUUUCAUUUAUGGAUUAUUUUCGUCGACAACACAAAUUCAGUUGAAGCACUUUAUGUUUCAAGAAAGUGAAAAUGUAAAUACAGUUCAUGAAUGGCCUUGGGCACAAUAGAGAUUAGGCAGAGCUUAUUAUUAAGAACAAUUAGAACAAUGUAAACACUGGAUUUUAUGUACUGGUUUAUAUGUGAAAUCCGAUCUGGCG
Long non-coding RNA from Equus caballus (horse), 2338 nucleotides. Lineage: Eukaryota; Metazoa; Chordata; Mammalia; Perissodactyla; Equidae. The record is from Ensembl.